Molecule: small nucleolar RNA, 182 nt
Filed under: Henningerozyma blattae CBS 6284
Lineage: Eukaryota; Fungi; Ascomycota; Saccharomycetes; Saccharomycetales; Saccharomycetaceae
Description: Tetrapisispora blattae CBS 6284 Small nucleolar RNA snR4
Rfam family: Small nucleolar RNA snR4
Source: Rfam by way of RNAcentral
AACUAUAACAGUCGAUGAGGAGAGGUUUUAGUUUCAUUAAACAUCCGUGCCCUAAUCAGGCGGAAGUCACCCUAGAUUUAAGUGAAUGCUUGCAUUCUAGUUUAUCAUGGGUCGAUGUGGAUUGUGCCGUGGCCGUUUCACCACCUUUAUAGCGGUGCUUUGACUAGCAAAAACUGAGGCUG